RNAcentral lists this unclassified non-coding RNA (277 nucleotides) under plant metagenome. Its description in RNAcentral is "partial contains small subunit ribosomal RNA, internal transcribed spacer 1, and 5.8S ribosomal RNA". The record is from RNAcentral.
UUUCCGUAGGUGAACCUGCGGAAGGAUCAUUAACACUUUUUUGGUUUCAAAAAAUAAACACCUGUACGAACUGUGUUUUCUUUUGUUGUUUGAGAAGAAAAAAGAUAGGGGGAGGUUUUAUACCCCCCUCUCUCUCUAAUCUCUCAUACACAAUUUUUUUUAAAAAACCCCUUUAACCAAAACUUUUAAGAACUUUAAAAAAAAAUAAAAAAAAAUGAUUUUAUUUCUAAAUAAUAGUAAAAAAAAACAACUCUUAACAAUGGAUAUCUUGGUUCUC